GACGAACCACACGAACGUUAUUCGGAAUUACUGGGCUUAAAGGGUGCGUAGGCGGCCUGACAAGUUGGGUGUGAAAUACCUCGGCUCAACCGAGGAAUGGCGCUCAAAACUGUCGGGCUAGAGGAAGAUAGAGGUGAGCGGAACUUAAGGUGGAGCGGUGAAAUGCGUUGAUAUCUUAAGGAACACCCGUGGCGAAAGCGGCUCACUGGAUCUUUUCUGACGCUGAGGCACGAAAGCUAGGGGAGCGAACGGG
Molecule: ribosomal RNA, 253 nt
Filed under: uncultured bacterium
Lineage: Bacteria
Description: partial 16S ribosomal RNA
Rfam family: Bacterial small subunit ribosomal RNA
Source: RNAcentral